GAAUUUCCGCGAAUCGAGGAUACCAGAUCUAGAAAAGUAUUAUAAUUUCUUCCACACUAGACGUUUAUGGCCACUACAUGAUACAAGAAACGGCUGAUAAGGGAGCGAGGAUGCCUUGUUCUUCAUUGGUGGAAAGGAAGAAUUUGCAAGCUAGCCCAUAAAGCCUCUCAACUCCACCGUCCUCGAGGAUUUGGAGAGUAAAAAAAGGUGAGUGUUAGCAUGCAGUCAAGCAAGGAAGACAGGCACUCCACUGAUUCAUUUUAUAAUUGGCCAUUCCUAGCUCUCACAGCCAUUUUACUCAACUUCAAUAACAUAAUUAGGAUAAAUUUUGACAAUUGUCUUUGAAAUUAUCUAAUUAUAACAUUACAAUUUCUCAACUUAAAUAUAAUAUAAAACUC
This 398-nucleotide unclassified non-coding RNA is filed under the name Hevea brasiliensis (rubber tree). The record is from RNAcentral. Lineage: Eukaryota; Viridiplantae; Streptophyta; Magnoliopsida; Malpighiales; Euphorbiaceae.